RNAcentral lists this unclassified non-coding RNA (378 nucleotides) under plant metagenome. Its description in RNAcentral is "partial contains 5.8S ribosomal RNA, internal transcribed spacer 2, and large subunit ribosomal RNA". The stretch from base 1 to 105 matches the Rfam family "5.8S ribosomal RNA", at positions 50 to 154 of the family's 154-position model. The record is from RNAcentral.
GAAAUGCGAUAAGUAAUGUGAAUUGCAGAAUUCAGUGAAUCAUCGAAUCUUUGAACGCAUCUUGCGCUCCUUGGUAUUCCUUGGAGCAUGCCUGUUUGAGUAUCAUGAAAUCUUCAAAGUAAAUCUUUUGUUAACUCAAUUGGUUUCUACUUUGGUAUUGGAGGUCUUUGCAGCUUCACACCUGCUCCUCUUUGUUCAUUAGCUGGAUCUCAGUGUUAUGCUUGGUUCCACUCGGCGUGAUAAGUUAUCUAUCGCUGAGGACACUGUAAAAGGUGGCCAAGGUAAAUGCAGAUGAACCGCUUCUAAUAGUCCAUUGACUUGGACAAUACUUUUAUGAUCUGAUCUCAAUUCAGGUAGGACUACCCGCUGAACUUAAGC